ACAUUGCAAUCUGGUGGUGGGCUCGCUAAAGCGGCCUUGACCAGUCAUGCGUGAUUGAGACGAUAAGCCGCCCGGAAGUUUCGAGGCGGCUUUUUU
Molecule: non-coding RNA, 96 nt
Filed under: Pararhizobium polonicum
Lineage: Bacteria; Pseudomonadati; Pseudomonadota; Alphaproteobacteria; Hyphomicrobiales; Rhizobiaceae
Description: RcsR1 sRNA
Rfam family: RcsR1 sRNA
About the family: RcsR1 (rhizobial cold and salinity stress riboregulator 1) trans-acting sRNA, formerly known as SmelC587, is a stress-related riboregulator, conserved in Sinorhizobium, Rhizobium and Agrobacterium. In S. meliloti RcsR1 less conserved central region is responsible for the species-specific interaction with the 5'UTR of autoinducer synthase encoding mRNA sinI.
Source: Rfam by way of RNAcentral